This 279-nucleotide ribosomal RNA is filed under the name uncultured bacterium. RNAcentral's name for it is "partial 16S ribosomal RNA". It matches the Rfam family "Bacterial small subunit ribosomal RNA", at positions 506 to 784 of the family's 1533-position model. The record is from RNAcentral.
UGCCAGCAGCCGCGGUAAGACGGGAGAUGCAAGCGUUAUUCGGAUUUAUUGGGCGUAAAGGGUCUGUAGGUUGUUGGUUAAGUCUAUGGUCAAAUUCCGAAGCUCAACUUCGGGCCGGCACUAGAAACUAAUCAACUUGAGUACGUUAGAGGCAGGGGGAAUUCCCAGUGUAGCGGUGAAAUGCGUAGAUAUUACACAGAAUACCAAUUGCGAAGGCAGAUCACUAACACUAUAUUGACGCUGAGGGACGAAAGCGUGGGUAGCGAACAGGAUUAGAUA